AAUAUUAGUACGAAAGUUGUAUGGCUCAAUAGAACAAUGAUAUCAAACAUCUUAAAUUUCUAGUAAUAGAAGAGUGUCAUAUAAAAUUGGAGCUAUCAUCUUUAGCUCAUACUAAUACUUCAAUUUUUUCCGAGCUAUACAUCAAUAAUAAAAUUUUCCUUAUAACAAACCAUCUCUUUUUUGACUAGUAACAGGGACAGCGAACCUAGAUGAGAAAUUACACAAAAGCCCAUCUUCUUCUACACGAGCUCCAUCAUCAAAAUUCAAGGCAUAACUUUGAGCAUCAUAUUGAAAUUGGGCUUUAUUUGAUUUCUUCAAAUUGCAGUGUACUCCAAUUUUCUUUACCAAAUUCUUCAUAAUCUUGAUCUUUAUACUAGCCAUGACUCUUUUUGCUCUAGCAAAGACCUGCUGUGAACUUCGUGGGCUUGGGCCCAAUUAAAGCAAGAAAACUUUAAACAACCACACGGCUCGCAACCAGUCGGAGAAGAUGAUGAAUAUUCCUCGUAGAGAUUGGUAUUUUUGUCGCCGUCUUGUUUUUGCUCUGCUAUGGGAGUAUAAUUGUUCAUGAUAUUGGAUGAAUAAGAUCCUUUCACUCUUGUUAAAGGUCUCGGGUUCGAGCUUUAAAUACGAAAAAGAAUUUUGAAAGAGGCGCUUUUAAUAGGACUUACACAACGCGAAUCCAAAUUAGUCGCGCACAAGAGGAAAGAUUAUAUACUUCUAUGCUUAACCAGAAAUCUUGAGUUUGAGCUUUGAUAGAAAACGCUAUGCAAAUCUGAAUUAGUCGAGCGAAUACCGCCGAGUGAAAUAAAUCAGAAAAAAUAUGUAUAUGUUUGUUGGGGGAGGGUGUGAAGAAGGAGAAUGAAUGGGUGUUUACUUAUAAUGUAUUUGUUAGUGCGUGUGCAAUGUGUGUGUGAAAGGAAAAGGGGAGUGAGAAGAGGGCAAGUGGCUGCAAAAGGAAGAGCAGAGAAAUAAUAAACCUAUAGGAUUACAAGGAAGGUUCUUUGUAUUUAUAUUUAUAAUAAAAGCAAAAUCUAACAGGAAAAGGAUUGUUGUUUCCUUAUCCACAUAAAUAAAGGAAAGGAGUGUAGGGUAAAGAUUAAUAUAAAGGAGUACAAGGAAGGUUCUUUUCAAAAACAUUUAAUGUGGCAUAUAUCUUAGCAAAAUUUAAUAUGCAACGGGGUUGCUAUUUUUCAUAUCCACAUCAAUAAAGGAAAGGAGUGUAGGUUGAAGAUUAAUAUAAACGUUGUCAAAAUACAAUGACCUUUUUUUAAAAAAAAUAAAAAAUAAAAAAUUGGCAUUCAUAAGACAAAACUCACUUAUGCAACUAAUUCAUUUUCGUGCCCAUUUCAAGAGUAACGAUACCAACCAAGAUUUAUUUCAUUUCACGGAAUUCAAAUUUGGGAUUUCUGAUUAAAAAUUAUGGAUAGAUGUUUCAUACGGUGCGUCAUACGGUGCAUUUUUUAUUUCUUUAAAUAGGAAAAUACCAUCUAUUGUUUACUGGUCAAUUCUUAAAAACAACAACAACAACAGCAGCAGCAACAACAACAAUAAUAAUAAUAAUAAUAAUAAUAAUAAUAAUAAUAAUAAUAAUAAUAAUAAUAAUAAUAAUAAUUUUGUUUUUAUGAAUUUCUUUAUCCGAAAACAAAUAUCUUAUCUGUUAGGUAUAGUAAAUCCCACUAGUCUUCAUCAAAGUAAAGACGGAUGGAAAGAGUGUUGUGGCUCUGAAUGUCGCGUCUACAACGUGUGAUGAUAAGUUGAUACAUCACAUGCAUUUAACUUGCGUAUUAAAAGUUUUCUUAAUAUUCUGAGAGUAGUACUAUUUAAGUCUUAGGCACAACGGUAAAGACUAUCCUGAUUUUACGAGGGAUGACGAUAGGGCGGUGCGAGUGCGAGGCGGGGCGGGUUUAGACAUAUGCGGGGCGGGGCGGGACGGAUUUAUAUAUAUGCGGGAGCGGAGCGGGGCGGGUUAAACUAAAAAAAAAUAAUUUUUUGUGGGUGCGGGUGUGAGUUUAAAUACUCAUUUUUCACACAACUGAAAAGGAAUAAAAAAUGUUUAAUUUUAACAAAUCCAAUCUCAUACACUAUAAAUUAAUGUUCUUCUAUUAUGACAAAAACAAUGAGGUCACUUGACGAAUAAGUAUAAUACAAAUCUCUACGGUAACUGUAUGAAAACACAGAGUAAAAACUUGAACAAUAACAGAAAAUGAGAAAAUUACCCGCUACUUCUGAUUGAAAUAAAUUAAGAUGUUAAAAUAUUUAUUCUGACUAUGCGUGUAUACAUGCUGAUCCCGCGUUCAUUGACCGCAAAAAUAAAAUAAGACAAAUUGAAAAGGAAAAAAAAAGUUGCGGGGCGGGGCGGGUGGAUGCGGGUUAAAAGAGCUAUGCGGGGCGGGUUGAAAUUUUGCGAGUUAAGAAAGAACCCGCCCCGCCCGCACCCGCACCGUCCUGCACCGCUUGCCAUCCCUAGACUUUACCUUGAGAUGAAGUGUUAUGGAUCCAAUAUCCAUAACCAAUUAUCCUUAAUUAUUGUUACUUUUCAGUGUAAUUCCUUUGUUAUAGUAUCAAUAUAUCAAUCUCUUAUUUUUGUAUUUGAUCGUGAAUAUUGGAUCCAUAACAUGAAGUCAUGGUAUUCUUGGAUAUUUUGACUAGCAAAUGCUUCUCUUAUUCAUCUUCUUUUUUUCUUUCUCAAUUUCUUCCUUUUUGUAUGUUUGGUUUUUUUUUUGGAGGGGGGGGGGGUGGUUAGGUCUAAAAUCGUGUAACUUGAUGUUUGCUUUGUUAGUGAAGACAUUGAAAUGAUACUAAUCAAGUCAUUCAUUAACCAAAGUAUACUGUGGAUUAUGCCAUGUGCACAUCAUGAUGUGCUGACUAAUGCCCACCUUCAUCCAAAUAUAUGCUAGCUAUUCUUUGUGUGUAAUCUAAUACUGAAUCUUUUAUUUUCUCUUUCUUUUUGUUUUUCCCUUUUUGCCGACAAAAAACAACAUCUUGUGAUCUUACAAAAAGUAUGAGUCAUAUGCAAGUCAUAUUCUUAUGCAAUGACAGAAUAUACUAUGGUAUUAUAUUAAAAAUAUUUUUAAAAGGGAAUUCUCUUUUGACCUCUUUAGUGAAAAUACUGCUACCAUCUUUACCAAAUGAUCUUUGUUUUCAAAGGUGAAACUUCGAGAUAUCUUUUAGCUCCUCAACACAAAAUUGCUAGUAUAUCUUUUAAAGCUAAAUUCUUUUGGUUUUUAGGUCAAAUUGCGUGCAUUUCAAUUAAUUCAUCGGAUAUCCGUAACUCGUAUUAUUACAUGUACGGGAUGAUUUCGCCAAUCAUAACAUAGCCGGAUGGGAAAAAAAUCACUUAAUUCUUCAUGCUAAUACUAUACCAACUUGAACUUCCAAGAUUAGCCCAUAACAAGCUAAAAACUAAUAAGUGCCAGCAUUCUCAACGCAAGCAACUACUUAGUGUUGUUCAAAAAGAAUUACCAUUAACCAAUACUUCCAUUUUGUCUGAAAUCUUGAAAGUUUUACUACAUAUUUACACGAAAGUUUUCCAUUUUAAGAGGUACGGCAGGUCUAAUAAAAUAAUAUUUUAAUAUAAAGUGUCAGAUACGGUAGGCGUAAUAAAAUACUACUAUGUUAAUAAAAAGGUAUCAUUAUCCUUACUUGUAUAGCUAAAGAAACUUUGACAACAAUAACAAUAAAUUCAGUGUAAUUUCACAAGUGAGAUUUGGGGGAAGUGAUGUAUACGAAGACAUUACUCUUAUCUUAUGCAGACAAAAGAACUUGACAAAGAAAAGUUAAAAUAACACGUUGGAGAUGCAAUAUUGUCGAAAUUUGUAGAGCGCAGUGCAUGAUGUGUGUAGUCGAACAUCUCUGAUUCGAACCGUGCUACAAACAAAAGUUUAAUAUUUAAGUAGAAAAAAAUAAAGAAGCAAGAUCCAUUAUUCACUAAAUUUUGAAUUGUGUGCGCUAAAUGAAUUGCUCGGGAUUCCUAGAUUAUAAAAAAACGUUCUCACAAUUGUCUCAUAGUUAAAACUUCACUCAUACCUAAUAUUUUAAAAACUACCAAAACCAAAUUCAACUUCCCCUAUACCAUUGAAUCAAGAGCUCCAUCUAUUGAACAAAUGUUUUCCAAUAAUAAAAGACGACAGUAGGUAUUAUUCCAAAAUAUUAUUUAGCUGAAUCUCUCUGCACCAGUCCAUAAUCUCAAGCAGCAUUAAACCAGUAAAGAAAUAUAUGCCUUUGGACCAAACUAAGAUAAUAGCAGGUAUAUAACUCUACUAUAAAGAUGAAAUACAUGCCAAAUUCAGCAAACACAAAUUCCAAAUCAAAUUUCAGCAUGUGACUGAAUUCUGAGUUCAUACAACCCAAACAAGAAAUAGAGGUAAUAACCUUGUUAAGGAACUGUUUCCCUUUCUGCCUAUGGAUAAAGAGAAAGAACAACCACAAUAAUAAUAGUGAUAACAAUAUCUCCCUAGCAAAUGUGCAUAUGAGAGCUGCGGAAUUUAAGCUGCUAUCUAAUGAUGAACGUAUGCGCAGCGCUAUACUUACCUUUCAGGGAAGAUGGCAGCCACCAUUAGCUGGAUAUUUUAAACUUUAAUGUAGAUGGAUCAGUGAAGGGACAUCUAAACAAAGGAGGCAUUGGCGGAGUAAUCAGGAAUAAAGAGGAGCCCUGGGUGUUAGGCUAUUACAGUAGUACCCGCAUCAAAUCAUACACAAGCUGAACUACUGGCAUUGCACGCCAUGGCGAAGCCAAGCCAGGAAUUUCAAUAACGGGGUUCAAAAUAUAAAAGUAGAUAUAUGAAGAAGUUAAGGGAAUUCAACAUAUACAAUAUAUACAUAAAGAAUAACUUUGACCUUGAAUAUAUAGUAUAACUUUCAGGCGAAUCCCCUGGUCUGCCCAUGCUUGCAUGGGCGAAAGCUAAGCUGUAGAGCACGCCCUAAAACUUCUGGAAAGUUAAACAGAUUCAACAGAGGUUAUGAGCUUGUUAAACUCAAAUAGAAAUGCUUACAUUUCUAAAAUGCAUGACGGCAGGUUGCUGAUGAGCCAGCUGCGGAAGGGGGGAAAUCCAGCAUAGCUUUCGAGAACGAAAGGCAGUAGCAGAUAUACUGGCUAAGGAAGGAAUUAAGCGGGUAAAUCAUUUUGUACUAAAUAGUUUAGAAUCAGAUAGGAAGGAGAGCAACUUCUGUUAGAAAUAUUGAGAAACCACUAUGCUCUAGAAAGCAUAAACUCACCAGUUUGUACUAGAUUUAACUAGUUAUUAGUAAUAUACUUCUCCCUUUUACCCAAGUAUUUCAAAAACUAACAAAACCAAGGCUUCUGUCUAUCCAAUAAUAGGAAUAAUUUCAGAACAUUAUUUAGCUGAAUCUGCUAGCAGAAGUUCAUAAGCUUAAUUAGCACCAACCAGUAAAGAAAAAUAGCAUUUGAACCAAAGUAUUACCUGAUAAUUGAAAAUUAAACAAGGAGCCUUUUGAACCAAGUAAAAUGGCAGGUGGAUGACAGGGCAAUUCUAUGACAAUUUACAGGUGAAAUCAACUUGGAUAUGAAAUUCAGCAAAAAGAGAAAAUUUCAAAAUCAAAAUUCAAUGUCACUGAAUUUUGAGUUUUUUCUCCCCCUAAUUUUCCUACAAGCCAAACAGCAAUAGAGGUAAUAUACAAACAAUCUCGCAUACGCAACAAGGUAUAAAAACAAAGAAGGUAUAAAAAGGGCAAAAAGGCAAGAUUUUUACGAUUAUAAUAUAACGUAUGUACAAAAUCAACCUCAACUGUAAUAAAAAAGAGCAAAAAAGGUAAAAUUACUGCUAAUAAAAAACACUCAAAUAUUACUACACAUAAAUUACUUUAACUAGCAGCAGUAACUUCUCUCACAGACAUGGGUUUCACAGGCGGGGAAGGAGGGAGUCUAGAAGUGAAAUUACCCAAAGGGGGCUCUUCAUCAUCAAACCCAUCUUCAAAAUUCAGCGAAUAACUCAACGGAUCAUAACGGAACUGAUCAGUAGAGGAGGAGUGUUGUCUCUUGUGCCGGUUUGAUCCAAAGUUGAAAACCAUUAAAACCUUGUCUUUAAAAUUCGAUAGGUUAUUGGGUUCCCAAAUCAGCGCCGGGUUCUCAUCGGAGGAUGACGGCGGAGGCGGAGGAGAACGGUGGCGGUGAGGGAAACAACAGGAGAAGCAAAGGGAGUUCUUCAACUUCUGCUUCAGAGAUGGAGCUGAAUUGGGUACAGAAAAAGGAUGAUUUUCGUCCAUUGGAGUUUGAGAUUUGAGAGUGCAAAUGGAGGAGAAAUUGAGGGGUUUUACACAGUUUUUGUAGAGAAAUGGAAAAUGACGAAUUUGUUUUAACUAUACCUCGUAUAAUAAUAGCCAAAGGUCCAAAUAUUGGGUUGUAAUUUCUAGAAUGGUUUAAAAAUAUCCCUCGUUAUAUUAUUAUUUUCGAAAAUAAUUUAAAAAUAUCUUUUAUUAUACUAUUAGAUUAUCUAUACCCCUGCAGUCAUACUUUAUGUUCAAAUAUGCCCCUCAUUUAAACGGAGGGACACGUGUCAUCGUCUUGUUGGCCAAUUCUAAAUAUCUCUUAAUUAAUUNNNNNNNNNNNNNNNNNNNNNNNNNNNNNNNNNNNNNUAUAAAUAACCCAAUAGUAUAAUGAGGGGUAUUCGUAGACCAUUUUCGAAAAUACAAGGGUAUAUUUGAACAUUUGCCGUAUAAAAAUAUACGCGGUACUUUUACUUUUCCUUUUUUUUUAAUUGCACAAUCUUAUUUAAUUCAGGUGACAUGAAUUGCCCUUGUAGAAGUAAACAAUCCAUUUUAACUUCUACUAUUAAUAAUUGGAGUAAAAUCACAUUUUCUGUUAAUCAAAGGUUAAAUAUAAUUAGCCAAAUAUCAUCAGGAGUUAAAUUGGAAUAAACUAAUAACUCAAUAUCAAGAAAUUUAUUUUUUUCUAUAAAAUAUAUAUGAGUUUUACUCAUUUACUACUAGUCAGUAUAUGAUUUUAGUAGGUUAAUUUGUCUCUCUUUUUUUCAAAAAACAAAAAGAACAUUUUAUGUGCACUCAUUUUUUAAGUCUAUUUUAGAAAAAGGAUAAUGAUUUUCUUUAUUUGAAAGUAAUUUAAUUUGAAUUUUUUUUUAUUGUACUGUUAAUGACGUUGUAUAGUUAUAGAUAUAUUAUAAUGUGUUUAAAUUAUAAAUUUGUAAAAAAGAAAAAAAUUCUUAUUAACUUUCUGUUUAGUCAAGUACGGUCACAUAAAAUAAAAUAUGUAAUAAAUUAGGUUGAUCAAUCUUUGUUCAGGCAAUCUCAACUUGAUGUAGAUUUGACGAAAUGGAUAAGGCAAUUUUUCUCGAAAAAACAUUGCCUAAAUUACCUAAUUUCAGCCUUUUAUUUGUUCAUUUCCUUUUCCACUUUUUGCCAAACUUUUUUCGAAUUUCUCCACUGUCUUUUUUUAAUGUUCUUGAAUAGCUACACUUUCAAUUAAAUAUGAUAAAUUUGAUAAUGCAACUCAGCCUUGACUAUGGUGUAAUAUAUCAAUAAAUUCAGCCUAGAGGAAGUCGCACAUACCAAUUUGUUUUUGUUUUUAAUACUAACUUGCUUACACAAAUUAACAAAAUAAGAACAAUUGUUUCUCCAUCGCAGUUUAUUUAACAAGAUUUCUUUUAUUUUCUCUUCCCAAAAGGAUUUAAACAUUUUUAUAUGUAUAAGUUCUUAAUAUUUGAUUUCAAUUUUGCCUUAACCUUUAAUAAAUUUUGUGUCCAUCUCACUUUACACAUGUUAAAAUCGUGAAUAAUAAAUCAUAUUCUGUAACUCCGUAUCCAGUCAAAUGAACAGGGAUAAAGUAAUAAUAACAUAUUAUAAUUUAUUUUAUUACUCAAUUCAUCUUAUUUUAUGUUAUCCUAAUUGACUGGAUACAAAAUAAAAAAUAAAAAACUUUUAUAAUUUAUAGUAUCAAAUACGCCUUACCUUUUGUACGGUUAUAAAAUUUUAUUAUCACAAAUACAAUAAAAAUUAUAAAUUACAUUAAUUUAAAAUUUAACAAAUUGAUAAAAGAAAUGAUCACAUAAACAGAAACAAAUGGAGUACAAAAAUGCGUCUUGUCACACUGCUUAUCUGCUAAGGCUUGUAGAGCUACAUCUCACAUUUUUCCUAUAUCAGUUUGUUUUUUUUUUCCCUACAAUCUUGAUGUUCGGGUCAAUCACGCACCUCCACUAAUUAUACAAGGUAUAUACUAUCUCAAGAAGUAUAGAGACAAAUUGAAAAAAAUUGUACUAAUAUAUUUUUGCCUCAGCUGUGAACUUAAAUCUCAUGAUCUUAAUCAUUUUAUGAACUACCAGGUCACACCAUUGAGUACUGUAUAUUCAUUUUUCUAUAUUAAAUAAGUGAAAUGAUGGUAGCUUAUAUAUACUAUAAGAUGAGUAACAUGGGUGGGGAAUGCUUUUUGUAUGCCAAAAACUUUAGGGCCUAAAAUCUGCCAAGAUUCAGAGCAAAGAUAAACUCACUUGCAAAAAGACUUCUGCUUUUCAGGUGAGGGUACUAUAUUCUUUCUUUUUAAUAGGGAAAAUGACAAUGAUCUUGACGUGUAUCUUUAUUGAUUGUUCUUUCACUUUUCUCAUGACUAUCAUGUUCUGUAGCAAGAAACUGAUCAGUAUAAGCCAAGAACUUUCUUCUGCUUUAUAACAGUAGCUACAAAUUAAAGACUGUUUCUGAUUUCCUUUGUGGUGUUGUUUUGUCUGAUUUUUUUUUCUGUUCUUGAGUUUGUGUAAAAAUGGCUGGUAUGCUUCCUGGUAUUGAGCAUGCUAGAAGGAGGAGAUUUCAUCAAAGGGGAAGUUGGUUGGAUUCAUCAAAUACAAGGAAGUCCUCUUUUUGCAUCUACACAAGCAACCAUGAUCAAUACCAUCUUAGUUCAAGCUGUUCCAAGGUACUAGUAAAUUCCUUUGACUACUACUCCUCCUCCUUGUUAGAUAGAAAAUUUUGUUUCUGUGUAACGUAUAGGUCACAGGUUUGAUCCGUGAAAAUAGCCAUUAAUAUUUGCAUUAGGAUAGACUGUCUACGUCACACACACGGGGUUCAGCCCUUAUCUGAACACUACAUAAAACGAGAAAUGUUUUGUGCACCGUACUAUUCAUUUAGUAUUAGGAAUAAUUUAAUGGUUAGAUUAAUCUGGAUUUGUGUGCGCAGAGUCUACCAAAAAGGAAGAAUAGUUCUUCCUUUUCGGACUCGAAACCUCUAAUUAGCGGAGGAGGAAUCUAAUCCGUCUCACUAGUACUCUUGCCGGUGGUUGAUAGAAAAUUUUUUGCAGCUGCAUAUUCAAUAUUUUAUGUGGACAGAAUGAGUUGAUACUAAUUCUUAUGUCCUUAUUCUUAAAACUGAAUUAACAGCAAAGAAGUGCAGCAAGCCAUGUAUACCAAGAUGAGAAACUAGUUGAAAUUGCCAGAGAAGCCAAGCAAAGGGUGGAUGAAAGGCUAAGUGCACAAUGGAAAUCAGAAAACAAGAGGUAAAAGUCUAAAUUUCCCCAACCCCCUUAUUUUAUUGUCUUUCUUUUGACCCUUUAUCUACCUAAGCGGAUCAAUAGUUUAAACUUGAUAUGUUCAACAUGUAACGAUCUUAUCACUGAAUAUAUUGCACUAUUGAAAUAUAUGUUCAAAAUUUUAAUUUUUGUUGUAAAUUUAAUAAGUUUUUCACAUAUAUAUCUAUGUUCUGUGUCAAAAAUAUUGGAUUCAGUUGAACCGAUUCGCCCAUGUUUAUUCCACUUGGGAUUGAUUGUUUAUUUCAUUUGUUGUAAUGAAAUCCAGGAGUACUAUAAAUAAUAGACAAAAAAAGCAAGGGGUGGUGGAGAUUAAGCCAAUAUUGGGGAUGAAAGAUUUGCAGAAAGAAGUGUUUAGAUUAAAGAAAAGUAUGACAAAGAGGUUCAUCAAUUGGACAAAGCUGAGGUGGAAGUCUUCAGAACAAGAUGAAUGUGCCAUUUGCUUGGACAAAUUCAGGAUGAGGGACAACCUAAUGCAAUUGCCUUGUGCCCAUAAGUUCCAUUCCAAGUGUCUAGUGCCAUGGCUCGAGUCUAAUUCGCAUUGUCCUUGUUGCAGAAUGGAAAUCUUGACUAUUCUGUAAUCUUUUCUAUAUCGCACCAAUUUUAUCGGAUGAAAAAAAGAAGAAUAAGCUGCAUCUUUCUGUUUCAUGCCCGAAACUUGUAAAAUAGUAAUAUAAAAGCUUUCUUGUUGCCAAGUUUAGUGAUGUUGAGUAAUUGGGAUACUUUGUUUGCAUUAGUUGUGGACUUAGUUAAGAUAUACAAAUUGAUCAUUUGUACGAGCUAUAGGUUAAUUAAGAGAGCUUGUUCAACUGCGCUGUAAAUGGUAGUAAUAUUUAACACUUGAUGUUUAUCAAAUACUCUCAAUCACUAAAAUCAAUAGAGCUCUAUUUUGGCACAAAAUUGAUUUCUUUCCGCUAUGAUGAAAUAAACUCUAUUUAUUUCUAUUAUCAAGAACUAGAUAACUUUUCCUAUCUCAAACUAUUUAAAUUCAAAAACUUAAGAGAGCAAUAUCAAAAUAACGUCAUAAUUCGGUGAAGAAAUGCUAUUUUCAUCACACAUGACAGAAACAACACAUUAAUCUGACCGUAUUUAAACUUUUACCUCUAAGUUUUAAACUUAUUUAUUAAAUGAACCGAGCUCAAAAAAUACAAACUAGACUAUUUUAUGCUGACUUAAUAGAGCAAUUCCAACAUAUCUUAAAGAGCUACUUAUAUUCUACCUGAGAAAUAUUAUUUUAAUUUCCUGAUUUUUAAGACUGAUAUGGUUUGGCUUAAAAAAAAUACGAAUUCAUAUAUAAAAAUCAUACCGGACAAUAGAUUAAUUUAUACUUUAAACCAAAUAUUCAAACUUCAAAAAUAAUUAAAAAAUUAGAAAAUAAAAUUUGGCAUCGAUAAAAGAGACAAAUCACCAAAGAUUGUAAUGAAAAGAAUAUAAUCCUUACAUUUUUAAUUACAAGUCUAAGAUUUGAUAGUGUAUACGGUCAAAACCGAUCUUGCCCUUCGGUAUGACUGAUCGAGACUGGAAGAUGAUAGAUCAAGGUUCAACCUCGUAUAACAUCAAGCUAUGAUGCGAAGUUAGGUUGCUGAACUCAUGACCCAGAGACCGACCAAGAUCGAGAUCGAGCAAAAUAGAGACUGGUCGAGAUCGGUCAAGAUCGAGACUAAGCAAAACCAAGACCAAUCAAGAUCAUGAUCGGCCAAGAUCGAGAUCGAGCCAAAAAAACAGAAAAGCCAGAAUAUUCGCAAUUAGGGCGAGAAUCUCGACAGAAAUCCCAUGGAAUUCCUUCUGUAUUUUUAAUUAUAUUCAAAAUAUGACUUCCCUACUAUAUAAAGGGUUUUUGAUCAUUUGCAGAGACGGGAUAUUUUUUGGAAGGAAAAGCAAUACAUUGCCUUAUUUCAGCUUUCAAUACCUUGUUACUCUAUUCAUACAUUAGCAGAAUUUUCACUUGGUUAGAGAGUAAUCUAACUCGAAAGCCAAAGUUAAUUGAUCUGUUUGGCUUGUAUUUAUUUCUUUUACAGUUAAUUUCGAUAUUCAUUUAUAUAUUUUCUCACUUUGUACCAAGUUAUACUACGUAUCUUUAAAAUCGCGUAUCAAUUCAAUUGUUAUCCGUUUUUCGGGUAAACAGACAUAAUAAAUAUUUCCUCAUUUAACGAGGUUAGGCAUUUUGAACUAAAUUAAUCGAGUCUCAAAGUUGAGAUAAUAUACUUCAAAAAUUAGAGGUCUAAGAUUAGACAUGACGACCGUUUUCUCCUUUAAUGACGUUAGAAAUUUCGAAUCUGAUUUAUAGCCAGUUUGGCCAAGCUCGAGAAAUCUGCUUAUUUUGAUAAGUAUUUUUUUUUAAAAAUGCUUUUGGAGAGAAGCAGAUUGUGUUUGGCUAAUCACGCUGAAAAACACUUUUGAGCAAUAAUUUAUAUUUGACCAAUCUUUUCAGAAAGUGCCUUUAAGUAUCAAAUUACGAAUAAGUACAUUGAAUAUAUUUACUUAAUAGUUAAUAUUAUAAGUAAAUAAAUAAUUUUAAAAAUUUAUUAUUACAUGCAAUAAUUAAAUAUUUUUAUUUUAUUUAAGUAAAAUAUAAAAAUAAAAUUUAAAAGUACUUAAUUCUUUUAAUAUAAGUUAAAUAUAUUAAAAAGCAUCCAACAAAUAUAAAAGCAUUCACCCAUAAAAUCACUAUAUAUUAUAAAGUUAUCCUAAAAAUAAUAAGAAAUAUUUAUACAUUAAUAUCCUAAGUAUUAGGUUUAUCGGUUAUUUUGAUAUAUACUAUAUUUUAUUAAGGGUAUUUUUGGUAUGAAGAAAAGUCAAACUGCUUAUCCUUUUGAAGAGAAACUAUUUUUUUCUGCUUCUCAAAAAUUACUUCUGCUUCUUCCCAAAAGCAUUUUUUUUCCUCAAAAAAAGCUUGCCCAAAUAACUCAAGUUAGGAAAAAAAAAGUAUUUUUAAAAAAUAAUAAUUUUGGUCUCUUGAGAAGCUUGGCCAAACAGGCUAUUAAUCGGGUCCCAAAUUGAUACUAUAUCAUACCUCAAAAUCCAAUUUAAAAAAAAAAAAAAAGGGUGAAAUAUUGUUGUCGUAGGGCGUGGGUGGGUGUUGGGGAGGGAGAGGGCAAAGGUUUGCAUUUCCUGGGAGGUUCCCGGGAGGGAAGACAGUCAAAACUCCCAAAUUCCCCUUCCUUAACUUCUACGACAUAGAAUCAUUCAAACUUUUAGAUCUGAACAAACAUUGUCCGAUUCAAAAAGAAGAAGACUUCUUCUUCUUAUUCAAAAACCCUUUGCACAAUUUCUCAGUAAUAUCAUAAACCCAUAUACAAACAAGACCCAAAUCACACCAAAAAACACGAAAGAUUGGAUUUUUAAAUCAAUGAAAUUAGAAAAAACAUGAUGGAACUCAAACCCCUUAAUUUGGUUCCACCUAAUAGACCCCCACCAGGUCUCAAUCUCUUUCCAAACCUCAAUCCAUCACAAAAGACUUUAACUUUCCACAAAUUUUUAGUCCUUUUCCUAACUUUUAUAGCCUAUGCAGCUUUUCAUGCCUCAAGAAAACCUCCAAGUAUAGUAAAAUCAGUUCUUGGCCCUGAGAUCAAAGCCCAAAAUGGCACUAAUGGGUGGGCCCCAUUUGAGGGUCCAAGUGGGCCUCACCGUUUAGGGGAGCUUGAUCUUGCAUUCUUGUUAGCAUACUCAAUUGGGAUGUAUUUUGCUGGACAUAUUGGUGAUAAUAUUGACUUAAGGCUUUUCUUGACUGUUGGAAUGCUUGGUAGUGGCAUUUUGGUUAUUGCUUUUGGUUUAGGUUAUUUUCUUGAUAUACACUGGCUGUUAUUUUUUGUAAUUGUUCAGAUUUUAUGUGGGUUGUUUCAGUCUAUUGGUUGGCCUUGUGUUGUGGCAGUAAUGGGAAAUUGGUUUGGCAAAGCUAAAAGGGGUUUGAUAAUGGGAGUUUGGAAUUCAAAUACCUCAGUUGGUAAUAUUAUUGGUUCUUUAGUUGCUUCCUCUGUAUUGAGUUUUGGUUGGGGUUGGUCUUUUUUAUUGCCCGGGAUAUUCAUUUUGGUCGUGGCAGCGUUUGUGUAUAUGUUUCUUGUAGUGAGCCCUGAUCAUAUUGGUUUAGAAUUGCCUUCAAAGGAGAUUGAGAUGAAUGUAGAGGGAGUUGCAUUGGUUGGUUCAGAGACAGGUGAAACUGAAGAGGAGGGAGUCGUCGUGGAACCCGAAACUGAGGGUGCAAUUGGGUUCUUGCAAGCCUGGAGGUUACCAGGAGUUGCACCCUAUGCAUUCUGCUUAUUUUUCUCUAAGCUAGUGGCCUACACUUUUUUGUAUUGGCUGCCCUUCUACUUAAGGCACACAGGUACUCAUUUCGCCGAGCUUUUACUAGGAAAAACUACUUUUUGAUGCUACUUGAUUAAGUUGAGUAUUGUUUCCAUUUUGGUCGUUGACAACGCUAGCAUCCUAUUUUCUAUAUGUAUAACUCGACUUGAAUGAUAAGAACUUGUUGUUGCUUUCCUCUUACACUGGAGUAUUUGAGAUUGGAGAUGCGUUUGGUUGUUUCAUUGCAUAUUAUAUUUAUUUGCUUAUGCUAGACGAGCAUAGGGGUAGCAAAGCCUUCACUUGCUUAGUUUGGGGUUUGAAAUGGUUAUGGUGUUCAAAAUCAGCUCUUAAUCUGCUGAGCUAAUGAUAUUAAUUAACAUACAAUUGCUCUGUUUAUGAGUAAAGUCUUCCCCUGUUCUACAUUGAUGAGCCUAACAAAACAUUUUUUUUUUUAAAUCUAAUGUCAUUUGUGAAAAAAUUUAAGCUUCGUUUCAACCACUCCUACAUGGGUUACACACUUACAAUUUUGUUGUUAUUGCAGUUGUAGCUGGUGUGCAGCUAUCUCACAAAAGUGCUGGGAUCCUUUCGACAGUUUUUGAUAUUGGAGGAGUCGUUGGAGGGGUUUUGGCAGGGGUCACAUCGGACAUAAUUGAAGCUCGUGGGGUUACCUCCAUUGUAUUCUUGUUGUUAUCAAUGCCAGCCCUUCUUUUUUAUCGCAUAUAUGGGAGUGUAUCUAUGUUUACCAACAUCGCUUUGAUGCUCGUUUCUGGUGCACUUGUUAAUGGUCCUUACUCCCUUAUUACCACAGCAGUUGCAGCAGAUCUUGGUACUCAGAGCGACAUAAAGGGGAACUCUCGUGCAUUAGCUACUGUGAGUGCAAUUAUAGACGCUACUGGUUCGGUGGGGGCAGCUCUCGGGCCACUUUUAGCAGGAUAUAUUUCAACAAGAGGAUGGAACAGUGUGUUUGUUAUGCUAAUUCUUUCAAUAUCCAUUGCAAGCCUAUUGUUAAUCCCUAUUGUGAAAAAUGAGAUUAAAGAAAAGCUGAAUGAGGGGAAAUGGCUUUGGAUCAGCAUGAUUAAAAGGUGACUCGGAACCUCUUGAAGGCAAAGCUACAAAUACCUCUAUUUGAUUAUGAAAAUGGUUCACGAUUUGAACCUUUGAAGUAGUGCAGGAGCCCCUAUUUUUUUGUAUAGAUUCUUAUAGCUCUCUAUAGAGAAAUGAGGAAUUCAACAGUAGACUUUCAAGAUAAUGCUUAUACAACUACUAUUAUUCUGUAUAAUUGAGCUGACUUUCGAGUAUCAUUUUUGUGCCUUUGGGAUUUCUUGUAGCAUGAGGUGAAUUUAAUGCUAGUCUUUUGAAACAUAUUGAUGAAAUAAUUUUCUCACCUCCUCUCUAUUUAUUUAUUUAUAUAUUUGAGCGCCGCUGAAAUAUCAGAUUCCACUUUCACUGUUCCUUGAGCUGAGGGUCUAUCGGAAACAACCUCUCUACCUUCACGAGAUAGGGGUAAGGUCUGCGUACACAUUACCCUCCACAGACCCCACCUGUGGGAUUACACUGGGUUUUUUUUUGUUGUUGAGCGCUGCUAGAAUUUGGUUUACCUUGGAUCUUGAAUUGAGCAUGGCCUUGGGCAUUUGCAGCAUCAGUUAAUUGAUCUCAAAACUUAGUUUUGGUAUGCUGUAGUUGGUGGUCUAAUUAGGAUUGACGAAACCUCGGGCAACUCACUAGGUGGGUUUUUUUUUCUCAUUCAAUAGUGCAACGUGGGAAGCAUCGAUAUGUUGUGCUCAAUAUCUCUAUAUCCAAGUUCCAUGCCCAGCUAAUUGAUUUUCUGUUCAUGUGUAUCUUGUAAAUCCUGUAAUCUGUUGUCAAUUAUGGUUUCUUGUGAUUGUACCUCCUUUAUUUCCUGGAUUUCUUUAGGAUCAUUAGUCACUUCAACUUGAUAGCAGGUCAAGAUCCUAAAAUGUGUUGCUAAAGACAGUUUUAUAUUGCCUCAAGUAAAGUUGCUCCAGUUGAAAGCAGAUUUCUCUGUUGGCUUGCUUCGAAGUCUAGAAAUAAAGAACGCUUAGCUGCUUCUGAAGAUAUCAGAGGGAGUUCAUGCUCAGUCAAAAGAGGUGUAGGAAUAUGACCAAAAAGGUACUACUCAAUUCAUUUUGUUAUCCUGGUUUUGGUAUAGGCAUGUUGUCAAAUUGAUUAACAGAACAUGCCUUAAAAUUUUGAUUAUAUUUUGGAUUCACAAAGAAGAGAGGGCUCGAAGUUGUUGGCUUAACAGCAACAAAGAUGCAAGAAAAGCAUACUUUGAGAGUCAAAGCUAAUUUCUCUAGCAAGGCGAUAGAUGAGAAACAAAUUACAGACUGACUUUCAAAGAUCGAAAAGCGAAAAAGACCGGUAUUUUACUUCUCAAAGAAAUGUCCAGUAUUUUAUUAUCAAAUCAAAACAACAAGAUGUACCAAUAAUCUUGGUGAAAGCAGUUUACAAGAGGAAAAGAAUGCUUUUGCAGAGUCUGGAAACAUCAUAUUGGCUUAUCUUUUAUGAGGGGUUUCCUACUUUGGCUUUGCAUGUAACUACAUUCAAUUGGUUGAAUGCACUAAACGUUCUAGUCAGCAAAAAUAGACCUGCUGUGUUGAAUAAGAAAGAAAUCUUUAAUGCAAAAAUCUCAACAAAAUCUGCUUUCAACUUAGCAUCAGAAAUCGAAGUUUAAUGAAGGUAUUCAGGUUAGUUAAGUUCAGUGAAAAUAUAUAUUGUUAUUCUUGCUUUCAUUCCGUUGCAUCAUUUAGUAGUUUACUUUAACUUAGUUUAGUUUCUUUGGUAGAUCAUAUUUCAAAUUGCAAUUAUAGUGGUCCACUAUCUAUCUAGAGAGAUAUUUCUUGAUACUAUUUUGCUAAUAUCUUCUUCAUGUUGUACAUUUUAACUAUAGUGAGAUGAUUCUUAGAAAAUAUCUUCUUCAUGUCAAAGAUGCUUGCAGUGCUAUCUUAAGGCAGUGCCGGUUAUGUUAGAGAGCCAUAGUAAAUCUCUAAUCAUAGUAUCUUUACUGCUCAUAAAUCUCUAAUCAUAGUAUCUCUAAUCAUAUAUUGUAAAAGGAUGGCUUCUUCACUACUAUAUUUCCUUUUUACUACUGCCGGGAUUUCGCUUUCUUUGAGUCGAGGGUCUAUCACAAACAACCUCUCUACCUUCACAAGGUAAGGGUAAGGCCUGCUUGCACCUUACUCGCACAGUUCCCUCUUCAGACCCCACUUGUGGAAUUACACUGAGAUUAUUGUUGGUGUUGUAAAAAGAAAAAGGAGGUGUUCUCUGCAUGUGGAAUAUGGUUGAGGAAAUGAUAAAAACUUUGUUUUUGCUUCAAUCAUAUGGCUGUGUACGACUUAUAUAAAGCAUCCAAGUAUGCAUGUUGAUUAUGUUUCCUUUUAUUUUUCAUAUAUAAUCUGGUGUUUCCAAGGCUUCCUUUGAAACUUUAGACAUAAAUAGAGAGGUUUGAUUGUAGAAGAAAGCUGCUAAAUUGAUCGAGCAAUAUGAGUAAAAGCAAGAGCGUUUAAAGCAUAAUUGUUUCAAAUUUCAUCUAAGCUUUUUGAGAUUUAAGCAAAGAAAAUUUAUUACUCAUUGAUAAAUCUAAUGUUUAUGUUACCAUAAAAUUGAAGUUCAGAUAUGUGCCCUUUAGUGUAAAGGGAGCAUACAAUGGAAGAAUGAUAUAUUUACAAAAAUUUUGGUUCCUUGGCUUGCUCAUUUCUCCCUCAAGCAUUUAUUCCAUCUGCUUGAAUUCUAAAUUGGAGCAUUAAAAGGUAGAACAUAUCCUACCUCUUAGGAAUUUACAAUGUACUCCAGAAGAAUGUAGUAAGUGGCAUUAUACACUUCCUAAUGCCAAAAGUGGUAAUUGCAAGCGACAGCUCUACCCGUCGAGCAAAGAUCUCAGGUUCUGAAGUCCUUCUGCAGAUAUACACUUCCUAAUUCUUGAUCUUUGGAAUACUAUAGGUGGUGGUGGUUCAGAGUGAAAACAUACCAUGACUACUGUUAAGUUGUCGAUAGCACCACGUUUAUUGGCCUCGUCCACGAUUUCCUUGCAGCAUAAUUUUACGUUGUUAUGUUCUUGCAGUCUCCGUCGGGCAAAAUCCACUGCAUUUUGGCUUCUGAAAACAUCCCAUAUUCCAUCACUACCGAUGAUUAGGAACUCGUCCUCCUUUGUUAAUGUAAGCAGCUUUAGUUCGGGUUCAGCACUCAACGGCCCGCUCUUUUCGACUUCUUUCAGUCCCUUAAUGUGCCAGUCACCCAAUGCCCGGGUCACGCCUAACUGUCCGUUCAAAUAGCCAUCAUCGACAAAUCCACCCAAUGACUCGACACGUGUUCUUUCACUGACACAACAAGGUCUGUGAUCCUUUGACAUUUCUAUAGCCAAUCCACCUCGAGAGAGUACUGCUCGACAAUCGCCAGCAUUUGCCACGAGUAAUGAUCUGUCCAUCAGAUUUUAGUACAGAAAGAUAGAAACUAAUAUUAGACACAGAUCUCCAAUGUAGCCUAUAAAUAAGAAGACAGGAUAAAAGGAAAACAGUGAAAAGAAAACGAAAAAGAAUAUAAGAUGAAUGCAUAGGAAUGGUUACCUUCCAAAUAUCAUAGCAGUGAGUGCAGUCGUGCCCGAGGACAAGGCAGAAUCAACGGAGCAUGACUUGGCAAAAGCAGCAUCUGUCUCCAAAAAGGAUUUACUGACCACUUUUUCGAGUUUCAAAGGAAAAUCUGCAUCCUCAACAAUGAUUCUUGGUAAGAAGUCACGUACAAAGAUUGCUGCUCCCUUCCCACCAUGGCCAUCAAAGACCUGUCACUAAAACCAUUUACAUCAGUGGUCGGAGAAUAUCAGAUACUAGAUAUGCUAAGAAUUUGUAAAAAACUCGGCUUAUUAUCUCUUUCCAAUUCUUCUCCACUCCUCUGAUGGAAAUCCUAUUUUAUAUGAAAGUGAUGAGUGAUUCUUAAUAAAUAACUAGUAAAAUAUUUAGACAUUAUAUUUGGUCCUAAAUAGGAAACUAAUAAGAUAAGCUACUUAUACGCUGCAGGUCCAAGUGUGAACUCCUAUGCCACAUAGGCAACGAUGCGCUUCAGCAGGUACAUUUUCCAAGAGUAGUAACAACUAACAAGUACAAACAACAAUGUGUCAUGGUGUUACUGAUUCCGCAGUGUUUUUAGUUGGACUAACAUUUCUGAUCAUUAUGCUAUCUCUGCAUUUAAGUAGAGUGGUCUCUUUGGCUCUUUUAUGGUGCAAAGCAGUGUCAUGAUCUGAUAAGCACGACAAGAGAGCUCUAAUUCAUCAGUUGCCACCUACAGUUUUUAUACAUUUGUUAAGACAGUUAAUAACUAAUCCUGUACCAUUUUGCAAUAGCACAAGGCCAGCACCAUGAAAUCCGCCAGCAGCGUACUUCAUCUCACAACCCUGAGGAACACAGGGCACUCCUUUGUAGUUUUGCUUCUAAUGUUCUUCUUUCUGCCAUUUUCUGUUUUUUAUUGAAAUUGUACACACAUGGGUAUGAAUGUGAGAGUAUGUGUAUAUUUUUGAAUUGUAUAUCAAGUUUUCAAAGAGAUUACGUAUCCAGCUUCUGUAUUGCACUCUUUUUCCUUCUUUAGUACCAAAGGCCCCUCACUCUCUUUUAGUUUGAGGCAGCUGGAAUACUUCAUAAAGUUUUUAAUAUCUAGAAAAGACCUAAAAGAAUGGCUCUAACACUGUCAUAAAUAUACAACCUUCCCUACAUCAAUACCUAAAGUAAAUCUUAUAGUAAGGAAAGAUACAAAUGCACCUACUAGUAAAAUGAGUAAAUAGUCAAGGAUGGAUAUCGUGAUGUCAAAUGAGUUUAAAGAACUUACUCCAUAAAAAGAGAUAGCCUCUUCCUCACCAAGAAUACUAUGACCAAAAUUCUUAGCCAAGUCCGCAAUACAGAUGUGAGUAUCUUCCAUAUCAAGACGGCCUCCAAUAUCCGACCACUCCCCAGACCUAAGAGUUGGGAGGAAUUUAUUGAAGAGUACUAUCUCUGCAAUAGUUGUAUCCUCGGAAAUACUUUCCAUCUAGAGAACAAAGGGAAGAGAAAAGGAAAAAAAAAUCAGUUAUAACGCAAUGAAGAAGUUUAUAGCCAUGCCACAAUCAGCUUAGAUGUUGUACUGUUCAAGUGAGCUUUCUAUUUAGACACGAAACGUAAUAGAAUUAGUUUAGGAAACAAUACAGAAGAACCAUAGGGACAUGAAAUGUGUGAUACUACUCAAAGAAACACAAGAUGAAUGCAAGUUAUUGUAACGAUUUGCUACCUUAUCCCAAAAACUCCAACGAUUUACUAUGGCAUACAUAGCAAAAAAAACAGGAUUCUACAAAUGUACCAUCAGUCAAAUUAGUUUCCAAAAGACAAAGAUUUCCAUAUAUAACCAAGAAUAUCCAUUUAUCAAUAACUUUUUCUACCUGAAAGAUCGAUUAGCACUGUACAACAGAUGAAAAAGAUCUCCAAAUCCAUCUAAUACCGGAGCCUCUCCGACGAAUCCCACACUUAACAAGAAGAAGAAAGGAUCCCAAGAUAUGCAAAUCACAAAAGAUAAACACCCAUAAUUAAUAAAUAGACCAUCUAACAAAAGAGAGUGAGAAAACCAACAACAACAACGUACCCAGUGUAAUCCCACGUUGUGGGAGUCUGGAGAGGCUAAAGGGUACGCAGAACUUACCCCUACCUUGUGGAGGUAGAAAAGCUAUUUUCGAAAGACCCUCGGCUCAAGAAAACAAUUCUCAACGGGUUUGAACAGGAGAACAAUAAUAAGAAGGUCAUGUCGGAAAUACUAAAGAUAAGAACAUUAACAACAAAAAACAAAGCAUUGAUAUAGCCAAGCAACCGGUAGAGAGUGAGAAAACCAAAAAAAAAAAGAUGAUUACUAAGAUAGCAACCAGUAGAGAAGGAUGACAACCCCAAGCAACCAAAAUACCAAACCAUAAUUGACAGCAACCCAAUUAUUUUUUCUUCAAAGUACAUCUCCAAUAAUUACUACACCAUAAAAGGGGAAAAAAAUCAAAUCUUUGCAACUUGCUAGAUUAUUGAACAAUCCCAAAUUGACCAAAUUCAUUAUACAAAAAAAGCAACAGCUCUCAACAUCCAUUUGCAAACCAAAGAACAACUCUAAAGUAUAACUACAACAACAGCUACACCUCAAUCUCAAAUUAUCCAUAUAAGUGGAGAUUAAUGCAUAAGUAGACCAGAAAACAAAAUUAUAUAAUAUUGAAAAAAUUCCAAAGCUACAAAAUUUACAAGAUCAAUAAUGGUAGUAAUAAUUAAAGAAAGAGAUCCUUACUGGGAAAGAGUUUCUGAUCACAGAAAGGCUAGAAGAUGUGUUUUUUUCACAAUUCUCUUUUUGGGUAUUCCCCAAUUCACCUUCCACUUGUAAAGAUCCAAUCUUUACAUUAUCAUCAGUCUUUGAAAUGUCCAAAUUCUCCAUUUCCUCACUCACUUCCUCUGACUCUUGUACACACAUUUCUUUUUUAUCAGUUUUAGCAAAUAAAAAUAUACCCAAAAUGGUUUUUUUUUUGGGAGAAUCAAAUUGGAAUUUUUUUCACUUUAUUUUCUGCAAGUUGAAAACUUUGUGAAGCGGAGAAUAUACAUAUCAAGAAUUGGAAAUUGAGGAGAAGAUUCUUGGAAUAUGUGAUGUGAUGAUAAUUAAUCUCAAGAUUAUAUAUAUACUGUUUAAUGCAAAAUAUAGUAAUAAUAUAGAAGAGAGACAAAUGGAAACUUGAGUUUUCCAGAUUUUUUCUAAGAAAAAGUGUAGUUAUAGCUGUAUUAUUACUGUGAAAGCAAUGAAACAGAAGGGGCUUUUCCCUUUUUGUUUUUGGAGGUUUUUAGGUGUAGAUCUUUUUAUUUCUCUUUUAAUAUUUGUUGGUUUGUACCUACUUUAUAGGAAACUUUGGGGGUACUAGUGGCUUCUUUUCCUGUUAAUUUAAUUAGGUAUUGUCAAACCUAGGAAAGAAAUAAAAAGGAAAAAGAAAUAUUAUUUUGUAUUUUAUCUAUAUAUACAGUCAAAUCUCUUUAUAACAAUAUUGUUUGUUUCGAUAUUUUUUGCUGCUAUAGUGAAGUGUUGUUAUAGAGAAUAUAUAUUAUAACAUAACAUGAAAAAAUUAAUUUAAAAAAAAACCUAAUCGUUAUAGUAAAGUGUUGUUAUAAAAGAGAAGUCUGACUGUAUCAUUAUUCAUUCAAUAUAUUUUUAGUACUUCAAAAUAUGUGUUAGGUUUUUAGUGUUGAUUUUUUUUUAAAAUGAGAGAUGAAUUCAGAAGCUUUUGACUAAAAUGCUGAAGUUGAGCAAAUUAAUUUUCAAAAAGGAAAAAGAUAUUCUGAAAGUAAAGGAGUUCUUACAUUUUACAAUGAAAAUGAAUAAUCAAUUUUUAAGAAAGAUUAAAUCUAUCGCAACAAUUGGAGGUUUUAAUUAUUUUUGGCCCAGAACAAAAUAUAUUAAGGGAAACCAUGUUGACAACAUAAGCUUAGUAGACUCCAAAACAAAAUUAUGUUAUUGUACAUAUAUGAUUAUAUAGUAAAUAAUUGAUCAAAAGCAUUUUUUCAAUUGGACACAAGUAAAUAAUAUAUUACCGUAUGUACAUAUUAUUACACUAUUUGAUACUAUUAUUCUUAUCAUAACUCCUUAAACUUGAUUAUGUUGUAAUUUACAAUAUUUUUUUGAUUUUCAUCUAUUGUACGGUAUUCGUUUUGAAGUCUUGACAAUUCAAAUUUACGAAGCAAUAAUUAUAAAAUGAUGACUCAGGAAGCGAUGAUAAAAAAUGAAAUAUAACAAAAACACACCAUAUAUAGAUGGAGGAAGG
This 22565-nucleotide long non-coding RNA is filed under the name Nicotiana tabacum (common tobacco). RNAcentral's name for it is "long non-coding RNA (NTAB_LNC009256)". The record is from RNAcentral. Lineage: Eukaryota; Viridiplantae; Streptophyta; Magnoliopsida; Solanales; Solanaceae.